Molecule: ribosomal RNA, 448 nt
Filed under: Hynobius kimurae (Hida salamander)
Lineage: Eukaryota; Metazoa; Chordata; Amphibia; Caudata; Hynobiidae
Description: partial large subunit ribosomal RNA
Rfam family: Bacterial large subunit ribosomal RNA
Source: RNAcentral
UGAAUGGCAAGACGAAAGUUCAACUGUCUCCCUAAAUUAAUCAAUGAAAUUGAUUUUUCCGUGCAGAAGCGGAAAUAUAAUUAUAAGACGAGAAGACCCUAUGGAGCUUUAAACAUAUGAUCAUUGCGUAACAUAACCCAAAAUGAAAUAUUUAAUAAAACAUCAUGAUCAAAAUUUUAGGUUGGGGCGACCACGGAGAAAAACAAAACCUCCGAGAUGAAGAGAAUAUCUUAAUUCAAGAAUCACAAUUCUAAAAAAUAAAAUAUUUAACAUAAUUGAUCCAAUAUAUUGAUCAACGAACCAAGUUACCCUAGGGAUAACAGCGCAAUCCUCUCCAAGAGUCCCUAUCGACGAGCGGGUUUACGACCUCGAUGUUGGAUCAGGACACCCCAAUGGUGCAGCCGCUAUUAAAGGUUCGUUUGUUCAACGAUUAAAGUCCUACGUGAUC